AGCUGGCCCCUUCAUUUUACUGUGGUGGUGGAUAUGCGCACCCCUUUCUCUUACAUCCACACACACCUGUGCACGUGAGACACAGUGGGGAAGACUUUAUUGCACCCCCUUGUGACUACUUAUUUUACACAUCCUCUUUUUUUUUUAAGCUGGAUGUAGUUGAUGUGCCGCAUCUACUACUAUUUUUCAACAACGGAUCUCUUGCCUCUCUCAUCGAUGAAAACCGCAAAAAAAUGCAAUAAAUGAGGAGAAUUGAAAAAUUCGGAGAAUCAUCNAAUCUUUGAACGCACCUUGCCCUCCUUGUUAUUCCUUGGAUGAUGCCUGUUUGAUUAUCAUAAAAUCUUCAAAGUAAAAUUUUUUGAAAACUAAAGUGUUUUAUUAUUUUGUUAUAGGAGGUUUUUGCAUCUCCACUCCUGCUCCUUUUUGAUUAUUAGCAGGAUCUCGGUGUUAUGCUUGCCACCCCUCGGCGUAAUAAAUUUUCUACCGCUGACAACACUGAAAAAGGGGGCCGAGGAAAAUGAAGAAGAACCGCUUCUAAUACCCCGUUGACUUGAACAAUAUUUUUUAUUACCUGCUCCCCAAGCAGGAAGAACCCCCCGCUGACUUCAGAAUUAUAAAAAGGGGGAAAAA
This 630-nucleotide unclassified non-coding RNA is filed under the name Rhizoctonia solani. RNAcentral describes it as "sequence contains ITS1, 5.8S rRNA gene and ITS2". The stretch from base 182 to 335 matches the Rfam family "5.8S ribosomal RNA". The record is from RNAcentral. Lineage: Eukaryota; Fungi; Basidiomycota; Agaricomycetes; Cantharellales; Ceratobasidiaceae.